Cotesia glomerata is the source of this 224-nucleotide long non-coding RNA. RefSeq lists it as uncharacterized. Lineage: Eukaryota; Metazoa; Arthropoda; Insecta; Hymenoptera; Braconidae. The record is from RefSeq and is a predicted model, not a curated record. The transcript has 3 exons.
UUUAAGAACGGGAAUUAUUCAUUGUUUACGCCCCCGUAAUCCCCUUUGGGAGAGGAUUUUUUAAAAAUUUUUUUACAUACAAACCUUCUCCUAACAAUUCUGAAGACAACAAAACAAAAUUUAGCUCAAUCGGUCCAGCCGUUCUCAAGUAAUGCGUGGACAUACAUGCGGCAUUUUAUUUUUAUUUAUAUAGAUAAACUUUUGAUGACAAUAAAAAAAUUUUU